GUGGGGAAUCUUGCGCAAUGGGCGAAAGCCUGACGCAGCCAUGCCGCGUGGAUGAUGAAGGUCUUAGGAUUGUAAAAUCCUUUCACCGGUGAAGAUAAUGACUGUAGCCGGAGAAGAAGCCCCGGCUAACUUCGUGCCAGCAGCCGCGGUAAUACGAAGGGGGCUAGCGUUGCUCGGAUUUACUGGGCGUAAAGGGCGCGUAGGCGGACAUUUAAGUCAGGGGUGAAAUCCCGGGGCUCAACCUCGGAACUGCCUUUGAUACUGGAUGUCUUGAGUGUGAGAGAGGUGUGUGGAACUCCGAGUGUAGAGGUGAAAUUCGUAGAUAUUCGGAAGAACACCAGUGGCGAAGGCGACACACUGGCUCAUUACUGACGCUGAGGCGCGAAAGCGUGGGGAGCAAACAGGAUUAGAAACCCCGGUAGUCC
Molecule: ribosomal RNA, 425 nt
Filed under: uncultured bacterium
Lineage: Bacteria
Description: partial 16S ribosomal RNA
Rfam family: Bacterial small subunit ribosomal RNA
Source: RNAcentral